GGGGAUUUAGCUCAGUGGUAGAGCGCUUGCCUGCCUAGCAAGCGCAAGGCCCUGGGUUCGGUCCCCAGCUCCG
Non-coding RNA from Rattus norvegicus (Norway rat), 73 nucleotides. The record is from Rfam. Lineage: Eukaryota; Metazoa; Chordata; Mammalia; Rodentia; Muridae.